RNAcentral lists this ribosomal RNA (488 nucleotides) under uncultured bacterium. Its description in RNAcentral is "partial 16S ribosomal RNA". It matches the Rfam family "Bacterial small subunit ribosomal RNA", at positions 30 to 523 of the family's 1533-position model. The record is from RNAcentral.
AUUGAACGCUGGCGGCAGGCCUAACACAUGCAAGUCGAGCGGGGUUUUCGGACCUAGCGGCGGACGGGUGAGUAAUGCGUAGGAAGCUGCCCGAUAGAGGGGGAUACCUGUUGGAAACGACUGUUAAUACCGCAUAAUGUCUACGGACCAAAGUGUGGGACCUUCGGGCCACAUGCUAUCGGAUGCGCCUACGUGGGAUUAGCUAGUUGGUGAGGUAAUGGCUCACCAAGGCGACGAUCUCUAGCUGGUUUGAGUGGAUGAUCAGCCACACUGGAACUGAGACACGGUCCAGACUCCUACGGGAGGCAGCAGUGGGGAAUAUUGGACAAUGGGCGCAAGCCUGAUCCAGCCAUGCCGCGUGUGUGAAGAAGGCCUUCGGGUUGUAAAGCACUUUCAGCGAGGAGGAAGGGUGGUGUGUUAAUAGCACAUCAUUUUGACGUUACUCGCAGAAGAAGCACCGGCUAACUCUGUGCCAGCAGCCGCCGCAG